GGGCGAGGUUGCUCGGUAACUGAGCUAGCGGCGGACGGGUGAGUAAUGCUUAGGAAUCUGCCUAUUAGUGGGGGACAACAUUCCGAAAGGAAUGCUAAUACCGCAUACGCCCUACGGGGCGAAAGCAGGGGAUCUUCGGACCUUGCGCUAAUAGAUGAGCCUAAGUCAGAUUAGCUAGUUGGUGGGGUAAAGGCCUACCAAGGCGACGAUCUGUAGCGGGUCUGAGAGGAUGAUCCGCCACACUGGGACUGAGACACGGCCCAGACUCCUACGGGAGGCAGCAGUGGGGAAUAUUGGACAAUGGGCGCAAGCCUGAUCCAGCCAUGCCGCGUGUGUGAAGAAGGCCUUUGGGUUGUAAAGCACUUUAAGCGAGGAGGAGGCUACUUGGAUUAAUACUCUAGGAUAGUGGACGUUACUC
This 418-nucleotide ribosomal RNA is filed under the name uncultured Pseudomonadota bacterium. RNAcentral describes it as "bacterial SSU rRNA". It matches the Rfam family "Bacterial small subunit ribosomal RNA", at positions 64 to 480 of the family's 1533-position model. The record is from RNAcentral. Lineage: Bacteria; Pseudomonadati; Pseudomonadota.